UAGCCAUGCAUGCUUAGUAGAAAUGGCGAACGGCUCAGUAAUGUUGCGAUGAUUUGCUCUUGAUGGUACAGAUAACCACGGCAAGCUGUGGCUAAGAGGCAAGAAUAAGACGCAACCCUAUCAGUUAGUUGGUAGUGUAAAGGACUACCAAGACGACGACGGGUGACGGGAAAUGAGGGUUUGAUUCCGGAGAGGGAGCCUGAGAGAUGGCUCCCACGUCCAAGGACGGCAGCAGGCGCGAAAAUUGCCCACUCUUGGUGAGGAGGCAGUUAUGAGACGUAGAUUAGAGGGCACAGUAAACAAGUGCUUUGAGUAUUGGAGGGCAAGUUUGGUGCCAGCAGCCGCGGUAAUACCGACUCCAAGAGUGUCUAUGGUGGAUGCUGCAGUUAAAAAGUCCGUAGUUGUAUAUGCAAUUGAAGGGCACCGGUCAAGGGUGCAGGGUUUGCUAAGGAUGGCGGAACGGGCAGAGUGCAUAGUAUAGGCGGGCGAGAGAUGAAAUACCAAGACCCCGCCUGGACUGACGGAGGCGAAAGCGAUGCACUUGAACGAGUCUGGGGAUCAAGGACGAAGGCUGGAGGAUCGAAAGUGAUUAGAUACCGCUGUAGUUCCAGCAGUAAACGAUGCCGACAAGCAGGACACGGGAGUGUUUGCUGGGAGAAAUCAUAGUUUUCGGGCUCUGGGGAUAGUACGCUCGCAAGGGUGAAACUUAAAUGAAAUU
This 718-nucleotide ribosomal RNA is filed under the name Microsporidium sp. BWOH2 WOH1. RNAcentral describes it as "SSU rRNA". It matches the Rfam family "Microsporidia small subunit ribosomal RNA", at positions 45 to 788 of the family's 1311-position model. Lineage: Eukaryota; Fungi; Microsporidia. The record is from RNAcentral.